Molecule: non-coding RNA, 72 nt
Organism: Turdus rufiventris (rufous-bellied thrush)
Lineage: Eukaryota; Metazoa; Chordata; Aves; Passeriformes; Turdidae
Source: the annotation of a GenBank genome assembly
GGAAGUCUGGUGGAGGAUUAUCUUUAUUUUGAAGAGAAAAAGAAAGCAGAGGUUCCAAUGCUCUGACUUUGU